RNAcentral lists this ribosomal RNA (301 nucleotides) under uncultured bacterium. Its description in RNAcentral is "partial 16S ribosomal RNA". It matches the Rfam family "Bacterial small subunit ribosomal RNA", at positions 509 to 807 of the family's 1533-position model. The record is from RNAcentral.
CAGUCGCCGCGGUAAUACGAAGGGUGCAAGCGUUAAUCGGAAUUACUGGGCGUAAAGCGUGCGUAGGCGGUGAGUUAAGUCUGCUGUGAAAUCCCCGGGCUCAACCUGGGAAUGGCAGUGGAUACUGGCUCGCUAGAGUGUGGUAGAGGAUAGUGGAAUUUCCGGUGUAGCAGUGAAAUGCGUAGAGAUCGGAAGGAACAUCUGUGGCGAAGGCGACUAUCUGGGCCAACACUGACACUGAGGCACGAAAGCGUGGGGAGCAAACAGGAUUAGAUACCCCCGUAGUCCCUGUCUCUUAUAC